AACGAACGCUGGCGGCAUGCCUAACACAUGCAAGUCGAACGAGACCUUCGGGUCUAGUGGCGCACGGGUGCGUAACGCGUGGGAAUCUGCCCUUGGGUUCGGAAUAACAGUUGGAAACGACUGCUAAUACCGGAUGAUGACGUAAGUCCAAAGAUUUAUCGCCCAAGGAUGAGCCCGCGUAGGAUUAGCUAGUUGGUGAGGUAAAGGCUCACCAAGGCGACGAUCCUUAGCUGGUCUGAGAGGAUGAUCAGCCACACUGGGACUGAGACACGGCCCAGACUCCUACGGGAGGCAGCAGUGGGGAAUAUUGGACAAUGGGCGAAAGCCUGAUCCAGCAAUGCCGCGUGAGUGAUGAAGGCCUUAGGGUUGUAAAGCUCUUUUACCCGGGAUGAUAAUGACAGUACCGGGAGAAUAAGCUCCAGCUAACUCCGUG
This 433-nucleotide ribosomal RNA is filed under the name uncultured bacterium. Its description in RNAcentral is "partial 16S ribosomal RNA". It matches the Rfam family "Bacterial small subunit ribosomal RNA", at positions 29 to 507 of the family's 1533-position model. The record is from RNAcentral.